AACACGUAAAGAACCUACCUUAUAGACAGGGACAACUAUUGGAAACGAUAGCUAAUACCUGAUAAGAAAGAAACUCGCAUGAGAGAAGUUCGAAAGUCGGAGCAAUCUGACACUAUAAGAUGGCUUUGCGGUGCAUUAGCUAGUUGGUAGGGUAAAAGCCUACCAAGGCGACGAUGCAUAGCCGACCUGAGAGGGUGAUCGGCCACAUUGGGACUGAGACACGGCCCAGACUCCUACGGGAGGCAGCAGAC
RNAcentral lists this ribosomal RNA (251 nucleotides) under uncultured Gemella sp. RNAcentral describes it as "partial 16S ribosomal RNA". It matches the Rfam family "Bacterial small subunit ribosomal RNA", at positions 112 to 354 of the family's 1533-position model. The record is from RNAcentral. Lineage: Bacteria; Bacillati; Bacillota; Bacilli; Caryophanales; Gemellaceae.